CAUGAGGAAUGGAUAAGGAACAAUGCAAGAGCAAAUGAAAGGAACAGGCGUAAUGACCGUCCUCGCAACUUCGAUAGAAGCAGAAACUUUGAGAGGAGAAGAGAGAACAUGUCAGGAGGCCCUCCUCCCCAACGUACUCCCAUGGGAGGCCCUCCUCCUCCACCUCACAUGGGUGGCGCUGCACCUCCUCCACCUCAAAUGGGGCAGAACUACGGGGGACCACCACCACCGCAGAACAACAUGGGAGGACAGAGGCCUCCACCAAACUAUGGAGGAGCACCACCACAGAACAACAUGGGAGGACAGAGGCCACCUGCAAGCUAUGGAGGAGCACCACCACCAAGCUAUGGAGGAGGACCACCACCUAAAUACGGAGGAGCGCCACCACAGAACAACAUGGGAGGAGCACCACCGCCACCUAACUAUGGAGGAGCAGUACCACCGCAGAACAGCAUGGGAGGAGGUCCACCAAACGCAGGAUGGUCAGGUAACAACAACAACUACCAGCAGCAGAGUGGUGGAAUGCAGCAGCCACAGUACCAGAACAACUAUCCACCAAACCGGGAUGGAAGCGGGAACCCUUACCAGGGUUGA
This 594-nucleotide long non-coding RNA is filed under the name Brassica rapa (field mustard). Its description in RNAcentral is "long non-coding RNA (BRAP_LNC002043)". Lineage: Eukaryota; Viridiplantae; Streptophyta; Magnoliopsida; Brassicales; Brassicaceae. The record is from RNAcentral.